CAGGACUCAACCAUGGACAAGACCCAGAAUCUGCCUGCUCAGGGGUUUGGACUUUGUCCUAAGAGAUGACUUUGGAGGACUCUCACGGGCAUUAGAACACUAUUUAAGGACAGAUUUUCCGGUAAAGCAAAGGAACGUGUGAGAUGUUGGCCAUGUGAAAUUGUGGGGAGAGGGGAGAUGUUAUGUACAGAACAAAAACAUCCCAUAUUGUUGUUUGCAACAGUACUGCCGAA
Molecule: long non-coding RNA, 233 nt
Filed under: Mustela putorius furo (domestic ferret)
Lineage: Eukaryota; Metazoa; Chordata; Mammalia; Carnivora; Mustelidae
Description: lncRNA (ENSMPUG00000029372.1)
Source: RNAcentral